This 497-nucleotide ribosomal RNA is filed under the name uncultured bacterium. Its description in RNAcentral is "partial 16S ribosomal RNA". It matches the Rfam family "Bacterial small subunit ribosomal RNA", at positions 28 to 507 of the family's 1533-position model. The record is from RNAcentral.
GAUGAACGCUGGCGGCGUGCCUAAUACAUGCAAGUCGAGCGAACAGAUAAGGAGCUUGCUCCUUUGACGUUAGCGGCGGACGGGUGAGUAACACGUGGGUAACCUACCUAUAAGACUGGGAUAACUUCGGGAAACCGGAGCUAAUACCGGAUAACAUUUGGAACCGCAUGGUUCUAAAGUGAAAGAUGGUUUUGCUAUCACUUAUAGAUGGACCCGCGCCGUAUUAGCUAGUUGGUAAGGUAACGGCUUACCAAGGCGACGAUACGUAGCCGACCUGAGAGGGUGAUCGGCCACACUGGAACUGGGACACGGUCCAGACUCCUACGGGAGGCAGCAGUAGGGAAUCUUCCGCAGUGGGCGAAAGCCUGACGGAGCAACGCCGCGUGAGUGAUGAAGGGUUUCGGCUCGUAAAACUCUGUUAUUAGGGAAGAACAAAUGUGUAAGUAACUGUGCACGUCUUGACGGUACCUAAUCAGAAAGCCACGGCUAACUACGUG